Non-coding RNA from Salmo salar (Atlantic salmon), 54 nucleotides. NCBI's taxonomy places the organism in Eukaryota, Metazoa, Chordata, Actinopteri, Salmoniformes, Salmonidae. The record is from Rfam.
AUUGCACCAAUUUGUAAGUCGCUCUGGAUAAGAGCGUCUGCUAAAUUACGUAAA